RNAcentral lists this ribosomal RNA (492 nucleotides) under uncultured bacterium. RNAcentral describes it as "partial 16S ribosomal RNA". It matches the Rfam family "Bacterial small subunit ribosomal RNA", at positions 29 to 507 of the family's 1533-position model. The record is from RNAcentral.
AGUGAACGCUGGCGGUAGGCCUAACACAUGCAAGUCGAACGGCAGCACAGUAAGAGCUUGCUCUUACGGGUGGCGAGUGGCGGACGGGUGAGGAAUACAUCGGAAUCUACUUUUUCGUGGGGGAUAACGUAGGGAAACUUACGCUAAUACCGCAUACGACCUACGGGUUAAAGCAGUGGUUCUUCGGACCUUGCGCGAUUGUAUGAGCCGAUGUCGGAUUAGCUAGUUGGCGGGGUAAAGGCCCACCAAGGCGACGAUCCGUAGCUGGUCUGAGAGGAUGAUCAGCCACACUGGAACUGAGACACGGUCCAGACUCCUACGGGAGGCAGCAGUGGGGAAUAUUGGACAAUGGGCGCAAGCCUGAUCCAGCCAUACCGCGUGGGUGAAGAAGGUCUUCGGGUUGUAAAGCCCUUUUGUUGGGAAAGAAAAGCAGCAGGUUAAUACCCCGCUGUUCUGACGGUACCCAAAGAAUAAGCACCGGCUAACUUCGUG